Long non-coding RNA from Amphiprion ocellaris (clown anemonefish), 4296 nucleotides. NCBI's taxonomy places the organism in Eukaryota, Metazoa, Chordata, Actinopteri, Pomacentridae. The record is from Ensembl.
UGAACAUUUAUUGGUUUUGUUGGAGUUUUAACACUAAAAAGUACCCGACUAAAACAGGUCAUAGAAAUAAUAAUAAAAAACAAACCGUCACCACCAUUACAUCAUCAUGGCUGACAGGUGGAACUUGGCGUAAAUGACAUUCGGAUGUGAUCAACACAAGUAAAACAGCCAAACACAACAAGUUCAUGUUGGCAAGAAUUCACUCAAAACUGACAUUGGUCACAACAGAGUCAAAGGUCACAUCAAUUUUGAGUUAAUUUUCAUGUUGGCUGACUUUGUCCUCCGUAUCCCGACUGUCCGACUCUUCAAAUCCAGCACUUUUUUUGAAUCGUGGUAGUAAAUAGCAAACUGUCAGAUUUGGUUUUCAGUGCUGAAUUACAAAAAAAGGGCACAUUUUAUCAAAAGUAUUGCAUUAAAUCCAAACACUGAGAUGAGAAAACGAGCAGGUCAGUUCAUCAGCAUCAGACACCGAGUACAAAGAGAUACUUAACGUAUAAAACUAAAAAAAACACACCUCCAGGAUUAGUUUCCUCGUCUCAUUACACACAAAGUACAACUAUUCAAAUAAAAAUAAAGCUAACUAAACAGUACAACUCUCAAAAAUACUAAAACAUCCCUUUCAUGUCCCCCAUACCCACAUUUCCAUUAAACAAUGAGAGGACCUCGAAUCGUUCCCUGAGGAACCCCUGAUAAGUUCAGAGUCUCUUUAAGGAACUUGCAGGACUUCUGAUAAAUACGGAGGUCCGACUGAUGAAUCUUUACUGCAGAACCGACUCCCUUCUUGUUCUCUUGUUCGCAGCUUUUCAACAAAAAAGCCGAACGUACGUAACAUGGUCUUCUCUCCAAGCGGGAACCACACAGCCACUUUUCAGGAAACCGCCAAAAAAUAUGAUAAAAACUCACAGGAACAAAGGUGAGUUCUGCGAUAUGUUCUGAUGAACGGCGUCUGAACGCGUCUCAGUGCCAAAAAAAAGACGAAAAACGACGACUGUGGACCUCCUUAAAAACAAAGUUGGAGAGAAACGCAUCCGGAUGAAAUUAUUUUUAAAGCAACACAAUAAGAAGUUAAUAAAAAGAAAAUCCCAACAAGUUCUGACAACAGGAAAUCAAAUGUUCAUGUCAGUGUGAGAAUAAAAAGAUCUUAUAAAUACAAAAGUUUGAAAACAUCUAUUAAUUUUUCUGCAUCACUCAAGUACGAUAGAAGCUCCUACAUCAUCAUUUAUUCAAAAUUAUCUCUUUUCUCAUAACCAUCAGUUUACAUCCCUUCCUGUAUCCAUAUCACAUAAUUACAACAUAAUAUUUUAUAUUUACUAGAAAAGAUAUCUUUAAAAUACUUUUCUAACAAUAAUCCACUAUUUUCCUCGAGUUAUAACAAUUACAAGAAAUGUAAAUUAUCAUAAACAUGAUCAGAUGUCGUAUUUGUCAGACAAAAGUUUUAAAUGUCAAGAUUUUUACACAAUUGCAAGUCUUAAUUUUCAGAGAAAUUUUGGAUAUGUGCAUUGCAAAACUGAGAAAUGACGCCCUCAUUUCACAAAGAUGAGAUCUUAAAACAUUUAGAAAACUAUUAAAUUAUCACGUGCCUUAUUUUAUAAUUAGGAUUUCUCUUAAUUAUAUAAUUUUUUUUAUCAUAAUGAACUGCAAUUAUGGGAAAACAUCUCAAAUAUGAACAACUUCUUUCACAUAAUUACGACUCCGAUCUGCUAUUCAUCACAUUAAUCUCAUAUUUGUGCGACAAAUCUUGAAAUAUUACUACACCAUGUAUAUGUUUUAUAUUCAUAAUAUGGUAUAAUAAAGUUAUUUUGCAGAUUAUUUUUGCUAAAUCAUGAGAUCUUGUCUGUUUUUCUUCAUAUAACAAGAACUCAUAAUUGUAUGAUUAAAAUGUGCAGUUUUGAGAUCUUUUCUUAUAAAUAUCAGAUAUUUGGUAAAAUUAUAAGACAUAACUAGACGAUAUUACCAUUUUGGGAAUCAACUAAAACCUGCUUCAUCAUUUUCAUAAAUUUAUAAAAUCAAAACCACUGACAUGAACAUUUGUUUUAAUAAUCGCACUGAAACUUGGAGGAAAACUCCAUAAAAUGUUUUGCCUCAUUAUGGAAACACUUUGCAAUAAUUUAUUCAGUAAACAGAAUUUUAAAAAUGAAUGAUUUCUACUCUGCAGUGAAGCUUUUUUCCCUCUUUUAGUUGAUUUUCGAGCGGAUGCGUUUCCCUUCGUUAUGACUUUUGUAAACAAGGACAGGAGGAGCAGUGAUUGGUUAGCAGGUCACAUGAUGCUGCUGCCGUCAGGUGAGCUUACCUGACGGCAGCAGCAUUCAUUUACUAUUCAGUUUACAGUGCAAAGAGCUGCUGAAGUCCUGGAAAAAAGCAUAAUUUCUUUAACAUUCUUUAUCAUUUUAACUACUAUAUAUAUAUUUUCUGCUUCGUUAAUUUUGAUUCAUCCCCCUUGAUUUUUUUGUACAUCAUUAGUAUCUUUUUUGGUUGUUUUAUUUCUUCUUAACGUCAAAAAACACACAAAAAAGACAAUAAUAUUGUAGCAUUAAUAAUAAAAUAUGAAAUGAAACUGCAUCAAUUCAAAUUUUAUCUAAAAAACACAACACCCAAUUUUUUCGGCCCAACUAAGUAAAAUUUUUAGUUCUUUUACGAAAACAUUUCAAUACAGUGGUGUAAAAGAGUUUUUGGACACCCCAUACAUUUGUGAAAUAUCGCAUUAAGAAUGACUCUUAGGUCUUCAAGUGUAAUUUCUAUUAGCACAAUCAAAGCCAUAAUACUAAACAAAUUCUUUAAAAAGCCAUUAAAAAGUUAAAAUUGCUUGGUUCCAUUAACAAAAAAAAAAAGAGUAUUGGGUCACUUUGGUAGAAUUUAGUUUUGUUAGUUUUUCUUGUAAACAAAUAAAAAAAUAAUUUGUAUUUGUGUCUGUCUAUUGCAGCCACAUCUUAUGAAACACAAAAAAAGAUUUCUCCAUAAAUAUUUCAUGAAAAUAUUUGAGAUCGUGUAAAAUUUUAAGGGUGUCCGAAAAAAUUUUUCCACCACUGUAUGUUGGGUUUAAUUAUUUGCACGCUUAUAAUUGUACUCAUGUAAGUUUUUAUUUGCAUUUUCGAACUUUAAUAUCUCAUAAUAUUUUUGAACCAUGAAGAUUUUUAUAAUUUCUUUUUCAUUAAAAUUUUUUGACGUGGCAUCAGCGGACUUCCGUACAUCAGAGCUUUGUGUCGAUGCCGAAUAAACCCGUUAAAGGAAAUUAUGUGAUUAAUAAAUAUGAAGGAUGACACUUGUGUUAAAAAAGAAUUUAAAAAUAUUAAAAAUCUUGGCGCCUUCAGGACUCUGUAGACCCUUUUAAACUGUAUUAUGUGUUUUUACCCGACAGCUUCAGGCUCUUAUGUGAAAUCCAAAGUGAAAGAGAUACUUUAAAACAUACAUGGAACUGUGGUCAAACAUCAGCGCUGUACAUGUUCUGAGGUAAUGAGGUCUGUGUGGAAACAGAAGCAAAGAAAACACUUGAAAAAUGAGGUAUGUGAACACGAGUGGAGGCUGAAAGUGCAACAAGUCGGACAAACGUUUGCAGAAAAGCGGUUGGUAAUUAAGACGAUAGCGAAGCUUUAGUCAUUCGAGCAGCGUUCAGAGGCGAAGACAGCAAAUCAAACAGUCGAUAAUCAAACCAAAGUGAGAUUCGGGUUCUCGAUUCACUGCCACCAAACCCGCCUCGAGUUUCUCACUCCUGAUGUUUAUUUUUGCUUAAUUUACCAACAGCUGAGCUUCUUUUUCUUCUUCUUGCACAUCAAACUCCGGCCGCUCAGCAGAGUUUGGCCUUCAUAUUGCUUAAGAGACAAACUUUUUUUUUUUUUGUUCAGACAAGUAAAAACAGAAUCACCGUCUCGCUAGAAAAAGGUUCAUUUCGCACAUUUACAAAGCAUAAAAACAAUGGAAACGGUGAUUGUUCGUGCUGAAGCUUCGCGGAGCAGAAACGACAACAAAUACACGAGAAUCAGGAUAAACCGCCGAAAUGUUUUCCGUUAUCUGAUCAUUUUCCUCCUUCUCCUCCUGCUACAAAACAACCCAGAUGAAAAGAAAUGAGCUUUCAUAGAGCCAAGGUACCAGCGCCGAGGAAGGAGAGGAGCGAACCGUCUUUAAACUGUACAACGAAAAGGAAACAAAACCGCCGAGAUUCACAUUCAGACUCACGAUGCCACUGAAGCACAAGUUCUUCGUGUUUCUCCAGAAAAGUCCAAUAAAUCACAGAAAUGCACUUGACGAGAAUCAGAAGUCACAACAGAAAAGGAGGUGGAACCAUAAAAGGGCACUUUAAAA